GUAGUCCACACUGUAAACGAUGAAUGCUAGGUGUAGGAGGUAUCGACCCCUUCUGUGCCGGAGUAAACACAAUAAGCAUUCCGCCUGGGGAGUACGGCCGCAAGGUUGAAACUCAAAGGAAUUGACGGGGGCCCGCACAAGCAGCGGAGCAUGUGGUUUAAUUCGACGCAACGCGAAGAACCUUACCAGGUCUUGACAUCGAUGUAAAGCUGUAGAAAUACAGUGUGGCUUCGGCCGACAGAAGACAGGUGGUGCAUGGUUGUCGUCAGCUCGUGUCGUGAGAUGUUGGGUUAAGUCCCGCAACGAGCGCAACCCUUAUUGUCAGUUACUAACGGGUAAAGCCGAGGACUCUGACGAGACUGCCGGGGACAACUCGGAGGAAGGUGGGGACGACGUCAAAUCAUCAUGCCCCUUAUGACCUGGGCUACACACGUGCUACAAUGGUGACUACAAAGAGGAGCGAGCCCGUAAGGGUAAGCGGAUCUCAAAAAAGUCAUCUCAGUUCGGAUUGUGGGCUGCAACCCGCCCACAUGAAGUCGGAGUUGCUAGUAAUCGCGGAUCAGCACGCCGCGGUGAAUACGUUCCCGGGCCUUGUACACACCGCCCGUCACACCAUGGGAGUUGGGAGCACCCGAAGUCGGUGAGCUAACGCAAGGAGCAGCCGCCGAAGGUGAGACCGAUGACUGGGGUG
Molecule: ribosomal RNA, 691 nt
Filed under: uncultured bacterium
Lineage: Bacteria
Description: bacterial SSU rRNA
Rfam family: Bacterial small subunit ribosomal RNA
Source: RNAcentral